RNAcentral lists this ribosomal RNA (445 nucleotides) under uncultured bacterium. Its description in RNAcentral is "partial 16S ribosomal RNA". It matches the Rfam family "Bacterial small subunit ribosomal RNA", at positions 354 to 796 of the family's 1533-position model. The record is from RNAcentral.
GUAGGGAAUAUUGGGCAAUGGAUGCAAGUCUGACCCAGCCAUCCCGCGUGCCGGAAGAAGGCCCUCAGGGUUGUAAACGGCUUUUGACGGUGAAGAAUCGACAGGAUGCGUCCUGUUUUGACGGUAGCCGUUGAAUAAGCACCGGCUAACUCCGUGCCAGCAGCCGCGGUAAUACGGAGGGUGCGAGCGUUGUCCGGAUUUAUUGGGUUUAAAGGGUGCGUAGGCUGGAAGGUCAGUCAGCGGUGAAAAGCUGUCGCUUAACGAUAGUCUUGCCGCAGAUACUUCCGUUCUUGGAUGGGGAGGAGGCCACUGGAACGGAUGGUGUAGCGGUGAAAUGCAUAGAUAUCAUCCAGAACACCGAUUGCGAAGGCAGGUGGCUGUACCUUAAUCGACGCUGAUGCACGAAAGCAUGGGGAGCAAACAGGAUUAGAAACCCUGGUAGUCC